GACGAACGCUGGCGGCGUGCUUAACACAUGCAAGUCGAACGGGAUCCGGGCUUUCGGGUUUGGUGAGAGUGGCGAACGGGUGAGUAGCACGUGAGUAACCUGCCCCCUUCUUUGGGAUAACGUCGGGAAAUCGGCGCUAAUACUGGAUAUUCUUGCUGCAUCGCAUGGUGUGGUUUGGAAAGGGUUUCUGGUGGGGGAUGGGCUCGCGGCCUAUCAGCUUGUUGGUGGGGUGAUGGCCUACCAAGGCUUUGACGGGUAGCCGGCCUGAGAGGGUGUCCGGCCACACUGGGACUGGGACACGGCCCAGACGGCUACGGGAGGCAGCAGUGGGGAAUAUAAGACAGUGAGCGCGAGCCUGAUGCAGCGACGCCGCGUGAGGGAUGACGGCCUUCGGGUUGUAAACCUCUUUCAGUAUGGAACAAGGAUCGUUCUUUUGGGGGGUUUGAGGGUACGUGCAGAAGAAGCGCCGGCUAACUACGUG
This 481-nucleotide ribosomal RNA is filed under the name uncultured bacterium. Its description in RNAcentral is "partial 16S ribosomal RNA". It matches the Rfam family "Bacterial small subunit ribosomal RNA", at positions 28 to 507 of the family's 1533-position model. The record is from RNAcentral.